This 792-nucleotide ribosomal RNA is filed under the name Dugesia sicula. RNAcentral's name for it is "SSU rRNA". It matches the Rfam family "Eukaryotic small subunit ribosomal RNA", at positions 143 to 944 of the family's 1831-position model. The record is from RNAcentral. Lineage: Eukaryota; Metazoa; Platyhelminthes; Tricladida; Dugesiidae.
AUAACUGUGGUAAUUCUAGAGCUAAUAUUUUAAAGAAUGCCGUGACUCACGAAGCGGCGGAUUUAUUAGAUCAAAACUAACCUGUCGCAAGACAGAAAUUUGAUGACUCUGGAUAACUUCACUGAUCGUAUGACUUUUAGUUGACGACGAAUCUCUUGAAAUAGCUGACCUAUCAACUUUAGAUGGUAAGAUCAAAGCUUACCAUGGUUGUAACGGGUAACGGGGAAUCAGUGUUCGAUUCCGGAGAGGGAGCCUGAGAAACGGCUACCACAUCCACGGAAGGCAGCAGGCGCGAAAAUUACCCAAUACCGGUUCGGUGAGGUAGUGACAAAAAAUAACAAUAUGGACCCUAGUGGUUUCAUAAUUGCAAUGAGAACAUUUUAAAUACUUUAUCAAGUAUCAAUUGGAGGGCAAGUCUGGUGCCAGCAGCCGCGGUAAUUCCAGCUCCAAAAGCGUAUAUUAAAGUUGUUGCAGUUAAAAAGCUCGUAGUUGAAAUUGGGGAAACUAUUUAGUAAGAAGUCUAUGAUGGAUUAUUAAAUGUUCCUUCGUCGUCGUGUAUAUUGUCAAGUCACUUAAUUGGGAUUUUUCAAUAACCGACAAGUUUACUUUGAAAAAAUUAGAGUGCUUAAAGCAGGCUUAUGCUUGUAUAUUGUUGCAUGGAAUAAUGAAAUAAGACUUUGGUUUUAUUUUGUUGGUUUUCGAAACUAAAGUAAUGAUUAAAAGAGACUGCCGGGGGCAUAUGUAUGCUGGUGCUAGAGGUGAAAUUCUUAGACCAUCAGCAGACAACCUACU